RNAcentral lists this non-coding RNA (185 nucleotides) under Vitrella brassicaformis. The record is from RNAcentral. Lineage: Eukaryota; Vitrellaceae.
AAAAAAAAAAAAAAAAAGUUGGAACAGUUCCUUGAGGAUAUUAAGAACCUGUUCACAUAACGAGCAUGCUUUAUAAGAAGCUGUUCACAUAAAGAUAAUAAGAACAAUGGUUUAAAAGACGGAUUAGGUAUCAUGGUGGGGAUUGUGAUACGACUGAUCCAUUAGGAGCCUCGUCUGAAGUGUUA